GAUGAACGCUAGCUAUAGGCUUAACACAUGCAAGUCGAGGGACCGGCGCACGGGUGAGUAACGCGUAUCCAACCUACCCAUAACUAAGGGAUAACCCAGCGAAAGUUGGACUAAUACCUUAUGGUUAUGGAUGGGUAUGCGUCUGAUUAGCUUGUUGGCGGGGUAACGGACCACCAAGGCAACGAUCCGUAGGGGUUCUGAGAGGAAGGACGCCGACAUUGGAACGGAGACACGGUCAAAACUCCUAAGGGAGGCAGCAGUGAGGAAAAUUGGUGAAUGGACGCAAGUCUGAACCAGCCAAGUAGCGUGCAGGAUGACGGCAUAUGGGUUGUAAACUGAUUUUAUAUGGGGAUAGGUACCAUAUGAAUAAGGACCGGCUAAUUCCGUGCCAGCAGCAGCGGUAAUUC
Molecule: ribosomal RNA, 407 nt
Filed under: uncultured bacterium
Lineage: Bacteria
Description: partial 16S ribosomal RNA
Rfam family: Bacterial small subunit ribosomal RNA
Source: RNAcentral